Molecule: ribosomal RNA, 1352 nt
Filed under: uncultured bacterium
Lineage: Bacteria
Description: bacterial SSU rRNA
Rfam family: Bacterial small subunit ribosomal RNA
Source: RNAcentral
AUUGAACGCUGGCGGCAUGCCUUACACAUGCAAGUCGAACGGUAACGGGUCCUUCGGGAUGCCGACGAGUGGCGAACGGGUGAGUAAUAUAUCGGAACGUGCCCAGUAGUGGGGGAUAACUGCUCGAAAGAGCAGCUAAUACCGCAUACGACCUGAGGGUGAAAGGGGGGGAUCGCAAGACCUCUCGCUAUUGGAGCGGCCGAUAUCAGAUUAGCUAGUUGGUGGGGUAAAGGCCUACCAAGGCAACGAUCUGUAGUUGGUCUGAGAGGACGACCAGCCACACUGGGACUGAGACACGGCCCAGACUCCUACGGGAGGCAGCAGUGGGGAAUUUUGGACAAUGGGCGCAAGCCUGAUCCAGCAAUGCCGCGUGCAGGAAGAAGGCCUUCGGGUUGUAAACUGCUUUUGUCAGGGAAGAAAUCUUCUGGGCUAAUACCCCGGGAGGAUGACGGUACCUGAAGAAUAAGCACCGGCUAACUACGUGCCAGCAGCCGCGGUAAUACGUAGGGUGCGAGCGUUAAUCGGAAUUACUGGGCGUAAAGCGUGCGCAGGCGGCUUUGCAAGACAGAUGUGAAAUCCCCGGGCUCAACCUGGGAACUGCAUUUGUGACUGCAAGGCUAGAGUACGGCAGAGGGGGAUGGAAUUCCGCGUGUAGCAGUGAAAUGCGUAGAUAUGCGGAGGAACACCAAUGGCGAAGGCAAUCCCCUGGGCCUGUACUGACGCUCAUGCACGAAAGCGUGGGGAGCAAACAGGAUUAGAUACCCUGGUAGUCCACGCCCUAAACGAUGUCAACUGGUUGUUGGACGGCUUGCUGUUCAGUAACGAAGCUAACGCGUGAAGUUGACCGCCUGGGGAGUACGGCCGCAAGGUAGAAACUCAAAGGAAUUGACGGGGACCCGCACAAGCGGUGGAUGAUGUGGUUUAAUUCGAUGCAACGCGAAAAACCUUACCUACCCUUGACAUGUCAAGAAUUCUGCAGAGAUGUGGAAGUGCUCGAAAGAGAACUUGAACACAGGUGCUGCAUGGCCGUCGUCAGCUCGUGUCGUGAGAUGUUGGGUUAAGUCCCGCAACGAGCGCAACCCUUGUCAUUAGUUGCUACGCAAGAGCACUCUAAUGAGACUGCCGGUGACAAACCGGAGGAAGGUGGGGAUGACGUCAGGUCCUCAUGGCCCUUAUGGGUAGGGCUACACACGUCAUACAAUGGCCGGUACAGAGGGCUGCCAACCCGCGAGGGGGAGCCAAUCCCAGAAAACCGGUCGUAGUCCGGAUCGUAGUCUGCAACUCGACUGCGUGAAGUCGGAAUCGCUAGUAAUCGCGGAUCAGCUUGCCGCGGUGAAUACGUUCCCGGGUCU